Acinetobacter radioresistens SK82 is the source of this 87-nucleotide non-coding RNA. NCBI's taxonomy places the organism in Bacteria, Pseudomonadati, Pseudomonadota, Gammaproteobacteria, Moraxellales, Moraxellaceae. The record is from Rfam.
CUUAAAAACGGAAAAAUCCGCACAUAUGUCGUCACAUUGCUCUGGGUGCCCUGCGGGGUGGAGAAUGCGGACAUAUGGAGGCCUAAC